RNAcentral lists this ribosomal RNA (492 nucleotides) under uncultured bacterium. RNAcentral describes it as "partial 16S ribosomal RNA". It matches the Rfam family "Bacterial small subunit ribosomal RNA", at positions 29 to 507 of the family's 1533-position model. The record is from RNAcentral.
AGUGAACGCUGGCGGUAGGCCUAACACAUGCAAGUCGAACGGCAGCACAGUAAGCGUUUGCCUUUAAGGUUGGCGAGUGGCGGACGGGUGGGGCAUACAUCGCAAUCUUCUUUUUCGUGGGGGAUAACGUGGGGACACUUCCGAUACUACCGCAUAUAUUCUACGGGUGAGAGCAGGAGAUCUUCGCACCUUUCGCGACUGAAUGAGACGAUGCCGCAUUAGCUAGUUGGCGGGGUAAGGGCACACCAAGGCGACGAUCCGUAGCUGGUCUGAGAGGAUGAUCAGCCACACUGGAACUGAGACACGGUCCAGACUCCUACGGGAGGCAGCAGUGGGGAAUAUUGGACAAUGGGCGCAAGCCUGAUCCAGCCAUACCGCGUGAGUGAAGAAGGCCUUCGGGUUGUAAAGCCCUUUUGUUGGGAAAGAAAAGCAGCAGGUUAAUACCCCGCUGUUCUGACGGUACCCAAAGAAUAAGCACCGGCUAACUUCGUG